RNAcentral lists this ribosomal RNA (505 nucleotides) under uncultured bacterium. Its description in RNAcentral is "partial 16S ribosomal RNA". It matches the Rfam family "Bacterial small subunit ribosomal RNA", at positions 28 to 507 of the family's 1533-position model. The record is from RNAcentral.
GACGAACGCUGGCGGCGUGCCUAAUACAUGCAAGUAGAACGCACAGUUUAUACCGUAGCUUGCUACACCAUAGACUGUGAGUUGCGAACGGGUGAGUAACGCGUAGGUAACCUGCCUGGUAGCGGGGGAUAACUAUUGGAAACGAUAGCUAAUACCGCAUAAUAUUGAUUAUUGCAUGAUAAUUGAUUGAAAGAUGCUAUUGCAUCACUACCAGAUGGACCUGCGUUGUAUUAGCUAGUAGGUGAGGUAACGGCUCACCUAGGCGACGAUACAUAGCCGACCUGAGAGGGUGAUCGGCCACACUGGGACUGAGACACGGCCCAGACUCCUACGGGAGGCAGCAGUAGGGAAGCUUCGGCAAUGGACGAAAGUCUGACCGAGCAACGCCGCGUGAGUGAAGAAGGUUGUCGGAUCGUAAAGCUCGGUUGUAAGAGAAGAACGGGUGUGAGAGUGGAAAGUUCACACUGUGACGGUAUCUUAACAGAAAGGGACGGCUAACUACGUG